GAUGAACGCUGGCGGCGUGCCUAAUACAUGCAAGUCGAGCGAACGGACGAGAAGCUUGCUUCUCUGAUGUUAGCGGCGGACGGGUGAGUAACACGUGGAUAACCUACCUAUAAGACUGGGAUAACUUCGGGAAACCGGAGCUAAUACCGGAUAAUAUUUUGAACCGCAUGGUUCAAAAGUGAAAGACGGUCUUGCUGUCACUUAUAGAUGGAUCCGCGCUGCAUUAGCUAGUUGGUAAGGUAACGGCUUACCAAGGCAACGAUGCAUAGCCGACCUGAGAGGGUGAUCGGCCACACUGGAACUGAGACACGGUCCAGACUCCUACGGGAGGCAGCAGUAGGGAAUCUUCCGCAAUGGGCGAAAGCCUGACGGAGCAACGCCGCGUGAGUGAUGAAGGUCUUCGGAUCGUAAAACUCUGUUAUUAGGGAAGAACAUAUGUGUAAGUAACUGUGCACAUCUUGACGGUACCUAAUCAGAAAGCCACGGCUAACUACGUGCCAGCAGCCGCGGUAAUACGUAGGUGGCAAGCGUUAUCCGGAAUUAUUGGGCGUAAAGCGCGCGUAGGCGGUUUUUUAAGUCUGAUGUGAAAGCCCACGGCUCAACCGUGGAGGGUCAUUGGAAACUGGAAAACUUGAGUGCAGAAGAGGAAAGUGGAAUUCCAUGUGUAGCGGUGAAAUGCGCAGAGAUAUGGAGGAACACCAGUGGCGAAGGCGACUUUCUGGUCUGUAACUGACGCUGAUGUGCGAAAGCGUGGGGAUCAAACAGGAUUAGAUACCCUGGUAGUCCACGCCGUAAACGAUGAGUGCUAAGUGUUAGGGGGUUUCCGCCCCUUAGUGCUGCAGCUAACGCAUUAAGCACUCCGCCUGGGGAGUACGACCGCAAGGUUGAAACUCAAAGGAAGUGACGGGGACCCGCACAAGCGGUGGAGUAUGUGGUUUAAUUCGAAGCAACGCGAAGAACCUUACCAAAUCUUGACAUCCUUUGACAACUCUAGAGAUAGAGCCUUCCCCUUCGGGGGACAAAGUGACAGGUGGUGCAUGGUUGUCGUCAGCUCGUGUCGUGAGAUGUUGGGUUAAGUCCCGCAACGAGCGCAACCCUUAAGCUUAGUUGCCAUCAUUAAGUUGGGCACUCUAAGUUGACUGCCGGUGACAAACCGGAGGAAGGUGGGGAUGACGUCAAAUCAUCAUGCCCCUUAUGAUUUGGGCUACACACGUGCUACAAUGGACAAUACAAAGGGCAGCGAAACCGCGAGGUCAAGCAAAUCCCAUAAAGUUGUUCUCAGUUCGGAUUGUAGUCUGCAACUCGACUACAUGAAGCUGGAAUCGCUAGUAAUCGUAGAUCAGCAUGCUACGGUGAAUACGUUCCCGGGUCU
RNAcentral lists this ribosomal RNA (1372 nucleotides) under uncultured bacterium. RNAcentral's name for it is "bacterial SSU rRNA". It matches the Rfam family "Bacterial small subunit ribosomal RNA", at positions 28 to 1381 of the family's 1533-position model. The record is from RNAcentral.